RNAcentral lists this ribosomal RNA (484 nucleotides) under uncultured bacterium. Its description in RNAcentral is "partial 16S ribosomal RNA". It matches the Rfam family "Bacterial small subunit ribosomal RNA", at positions 30 to 507 of the family's 1533-position model. The record is from RNAcentral.
AUUGAACGCUGGCGGAAUGCUUUACACAUGCAAGUCGAACGGCAGCACGGGGGCAACCCUGGUGGCGAGUGGCGAACGGGUGAGUAAUACAUCGGAACGUGCCCGGUCGUGGGGGAUAACGUAGCGAAAGUUACGCUAAUACCGCAUACGAUCUGAGGAUGAAAGCGGGGGACCUUCGGGCCUCGCGCGAUCGGAGCGGCCGAUGUCAGAUUAGGUAGUUGGUGGGGUAAAGGCCUACCAAGCCGACUAUCUGUAGCUGGUCUGAGAGGACGACCAGCCACACUGGGACUUAGACACGGCCCAGACUCCUACGGGAGGCAGCAGUGGGGAAUUUUGGACAAUGGGCGCAAGCCUGAUCCAGCCAUGCCGCGUGCAGGACGAAGGCCUUCGGGUUGUAAACUGCUUUUGUAUGGAACGAAAAGGCUCUGGCUAAUACCUGGGGCUCAUGACGGUACCGUAAGAAUAAGCACCGGCUAACUACGUG